UUCGUAGGGUGCGAGCGUUAAUCGGAAUUACUGGGCGUAAAGCGUGCGCAGGCGGCUUUGUAAGUCAGAUGUGAAAUCCCCGAGCUCAACUUGGGAACUGCGUUUGAAACUACAAGGCUAGAAUAUGUCAGAGGGGGGUAGAAUUCCACGUGUAGCAGUGAAAUGCGUAGAGAUGUGGAGGAAUACCAAUGGCGAAGGCAGCCCCCUGGCCUAAUACUGACGCUCAUGCACGAAAGCGUGGGGAGCAAACAGG
Molecule: ribosomal RNA, 253 nt
Filed under: uncultured bacterium
Lineage: Bacteria
Description: partial 16S ribosomal RNA
Rfam family: Bacterial small subunit ribosomal RNA
Source: RNAcentral